AACGGAGGGUGCAAGCGUUGUUCGGAAUUACUGGGCGUAAAGCGCGUGCAGGCGGUCUUUUAAGUUUCGUGUGAAAUCCCACAGCUCAACUGUGGAACGGCGCGGAAAACUGGAAGACUUGAGUACGGGAUAAGAGGGCGGAAUUCCCAGUGUAGAGGUGAAAUUCGUAGAUAUUGGGAAGAACACCGGUGGCGAAGGCGGCUCUCUGGACCGAUACUGACACUCAUACGCGAAAGCGUGGGUAGCAAACAGG
Molecule: ribosomal RNA, 253 nt
Filed under: uncultured bacterium
Lineage: Bacteria
Description: partial 16S ribosomal RNA
Rfam family: Bacterial small subunit ribosomal RNA
Source: RNAcentral